This 64-nucleotide transfer RNA is filed under the name Cavia porcellus (domestic guinea pig). It matches the Rfam family "tRNA". Rfam says of the family: Transfer RNA (tRNA) molecules are approximately 80 nucleotides in length. Their secondary structure includes four short double-helical elements and three loops (D, anti-codon, and T loops). Further hydrogen bonds mediate the characteristic L-shaped molecular structure. tRNAs have two regions of fundamental functional importance: the anti-codon, which is responsible for specific mRNA codon recognition, and the 3' end, to which the tRNAs corresponding amino acid is attached (by aminoacyl-tRNA synthetases). tRNAs cope with the degeneracy of the genetic code in two manners: having more than one tRNA (with a specific anti-codon) for a particular amino acid; and 'wobble' base-pairing, i.e. permitting non-standard base-pairing at the 3rd anti-codon position. The record is from Rfam by way of RNAcentral. Lineage: Eukaryota; Metazoa; Chordata; Mammalia; Rodentia; Caviidae.
GGGGAUUUAGCUCAGUGGCAUAAGCACCUGCCUUGCAAGCAGGCGGUUGCAAGUUUGAUCCCCA